GUUUUUUUCUCUCUCUUCUUUCUUUUCUCUCUCAUUCGAUCUCUUUUUUCUCAGCAUCUCUCAUCUAUGCCCCAUCUCAUCCUUCACCCUAACAUCCAUCACAACCUCCACCAAGAUCAACUCAAAAUUCACAUGCAAGUGUAGAUUUGUAAUCCUUGAGUCUUGGGCUUUCAAGGAAGGAUCAAGAAGCCAUGGUUAAGGGAUUUGGAGCAAUUUAGAAGAAGAUUGAUGAAACCCGUGUUCCUAGACAGGGCUUCCCUAAAACGGUCAGUACUCUCUCCUCGUAGCUCUGAUUUAAAUUUCGUUUGUUGCUAUGGAAAGCUAACGAAAUUCCCGUCAUUUUGGGUACAAGUUUCGCUAUUUUUGGAUCAGUAUUGAUGUCUGAACAUGCUUCUGAAGUUGAGGGUUGAAGCUGUCAAAAUGGUGUUUUGAGGGCUGCGGGUUUGGGUACACAAACGGUGCAAAUGGAUGAUUUUAGGCUUGCGGAACAACGUGGUACGGCUGUUGAAUCAGGGAAUUCAUCAGCUUCUUUCUAUAAUUGAUGCUUUACAUCCACCAUUGCUAAAUGGUUUGCAGUUUGUGGAAGAUGCUCAACGGAAUGAGCAUGUAUUGUCAACUGGUUGUUAAGGGGCUAAAAGGAACCAGCAAUGGUCUACGCGGUUUAGGGCAGCUAAAGAUAUGCAUCUGAUGCGGUUGUUUCAACAAUAUGCUAUUGUUAGGCAAUACUAAGGCUGGAUUGGUGGGAAAAACAAGUCUGUUACUGAGUGAAAAGGAGGGUUUAGAGCAAAAAGUAAAGAUUCUGGAAAGCAAUUUGAGUUCUUUUAGUGAGAAAGAGAAAAAAGAAGUAUCUGGAUUUGAAUAGAACAGUUUUUGGUGAAUGUGAAGAUGGCUAUUGUGCACUAUCAAAAUUUGUUAUCUUUCUCGCUUUCUUUUGGCAUACCUGGCAACGGGAAUGAAUGACAUGGAGCACACACAACAACGAUAGCAGCCUCCGAUGUAGAGGUUUGUGUAUCUCAUCUCAGCUCCAUAGAAUAUUUCUGGUUCUACUUUAGCUAGAUCUAUCCAUUUUGCUUAGAUAAAGGGUGGAUUUUGAUCUAGCUUGAAGGUUUUGAUCAUCUGUUAUAAGAGAGAGUUCCGACCGAGAGAGUUGCGGUGCUUGGCGAUGGAGGUGAUGAAGCCUUUUUCUCCUUCUUUCCUCCGGUUCGAUCCUUCAUUCGGAUGAUCAUCAACAAUCUAUUGAAGAAGAGAAGGCUUGAUUUGUGGUAUUUCUUUGAUGUUAAUACUCCCAAGAUGAAAAGAGAUCUCAUGAAGCAGCUUUGGCGAAGUGCAAGGAGUUAGAAGAACAAUUGCAAAGAUAUGAACCAUCGUUACAAAUUGCAUCCUGAUGUUCGUCCUUACGCAAUGAUGACCAGGACAGGAUAUAUGGAGUAUGAUCCCAUGAAGCCCCGAGGAAAGCUUCCAUAAAUCUAUGCACGUUCCAUUGGUCAAUACAUGUGAUACGGUUUUUUUGGAGGAUGUUAACAAGAAUCAGAUUCAAGUUGGUGUGCACAAAAAGAGUUCUUCAAAAAUUUAUUUUACUGAUGGCUGGUCAAUACAUAGGUGAUACGGUUUUUCUGGCCAGUGGCGUGAUAUUUGCAAAGUCCACCAUUUGGCUGAGGGUGUAACUGUGAGCUUUGGUGUCACUCAAGCAUCCAACAACAGGAUCAUAUACUACAAGCUAUCCCCUUACAUUGGCAUACGAACUACUCUCAUUGCUCCUUCAACAUCCAGCAAGCGGAAGAAAUUUUAUGAGACUCAGCAUUUCUAUAUGCUCUAGGAUCCCUACUAUCUUGCUUUAGAACUAUCUUGCUUUUAUUUAUAUCUGAACCUAUGUUGUAAUAUCUCUGCCAAACUUGAUUUUCAUGCUUUUAGGCUUGGCCAUUUUGAGCUUGUGAUGUGCUUGCUCUAUUUUGCUUUAGAACUAUGUUGAUUUUCAUGCUUAAGAGCUUGGCCAUUUCGAACUUGUGUUGUAAUAUUUCUACAAGACUUUAUUUCCCUGCUUUUCAUAGUGCUUGCCCCAAUGCUUGCUCUUUUAUGAUUGA
Molecule: long non-coding RNA, 2081 nt
Organism: Trifolium pratense (red clover)
Lineage: Eukaryota; Viridiplantae; Streptophyta; Magnoliopsida; Fabales; Fabaceae
Exons: 12
Source: RefSeq, a predicted model, not a curated record